GUUUGAUCAUGGCUCAGAUUGAACGCUGGCGGCAGGCGUAACACAUGCAAGUCGAACGGUUACAGGUAGCAGCUUGCUGCUUCGCUGACGAGUGGCGGACGGGUGAGUUAUGUCUGGGUAAGUGCCUGAUGGAGGGGGAUUACUACUGGUAACGGUGGCUAAUACCGCAUAACGUCGCAAGACCAAAGAGGGGGACCUUCGGGCGUCUUGCCAUCAGAUGUGCCCAGAUGGGAUUAGCUAGUUGGUGAGGUAACGGCUCACCAAGGCGACGAUCCCUAGCUGGUGUGAGAGGAUGACCAGCCACACUGGUACUGAGACACGGUCCAGACUCCUACGGGAGGCAGCAGUGGGGAAUAUUGCACAAUGGGCGCAAGCGUGAUGCAGCCAUGCCGCGUGUAUGAAGAAGGCCUUCGGGUUGUAAAGUACUUUCAGCGGGGAGGAAGGUGUUGUGGUUUAUAACCGCAGCAAUUGACGUUACCCGCAGAAGAAGCACCGGCUAAGUCCGUGCCAGCAGCCGCGGUAAUACGGAGGGUGCAAGCGUUAAUCGGAAUUACUGGGCGUAUAGCGCACGCAGGCGGUCUGUCAAGUCGGAUGUGAAAUCCCCGGGGUCAACCUGGGAACUGCAUUCGAAACUGGCAGGGUUGAGUCUUGUAGAGGGGGGUAGUAUUCCAGGUGUAGCGGUGAAAUGCGUAGAGAUCUGGAGGAAUACCGGUGGCGAAGGCGGCCCCGUGGACAAAGACUGACGCUCAGGUGCGUAAGCGUGGGGAGCAAACAGGAUUAGAUACCGUGGUAGUCCACGCCGUAAACGAUGUCUACUUGGAGGUUGUGCCCUUGAGGCGUGGCUUCCGGAGGUAACGCGUUAAGUAGACCGCCUGGGGAGUACGGCCGCAAGGUUUAAAGUCAAAUGAAUUGACGGGGGCCCGCACAAGCGGUGGAGCAUGUGGUUUAAUUCGAUGCUACGCGAAGAACCUUACCUGGUCUUGACAUCCACAGAAGUUUCCAGAGAUGGAUUGGUGCCUUCGGGAACUGUGAGACAGGUGCUGCAUGGCUGUCGUCAGGUCGUGUUGUGAAAUGUUGGGUUUAGUCCCGCAACGAGCGCAACCCUUAUCCUUUGUUGCCAGCGGUUAGGCCGGGAACUCAAAGGAGACUGCCAGUGAUAAAGUGGAGGAAGGUGGGGAUGACGUCAAGUCAUCAUGGCCCUUACGACCAGGGCUACACACGUGCUACAAUGGCGCAUACUAAGAGAAGCGACCUCGCGAGAGCAAGCGGACGUCAUAAAGUGCGUCGUAGUCCGGAUUGGAGUCUGCAACUCGACUCCAUGAAGUCGGAAUCGCUAGUAAUCGUGGAUCAGAAUGCCACGGUGUAUACGUUCCCGGGCGUUGUACACACCGCCCGUCACACCAUGGGAGUGGGUUGCAAAAGAAGUAGGUAGCUUAACCUUCGGGAGGGCGCUUACCAGUUUGUGAUUCAUGACUGGGGUGAAGUCGUAACAAGGUUACCGUAGGGGAACCUGCGGUUGGAUCACGUCCUUACCUUAAAGAAGC
Molecule: ribosomal RNA, 1544 nt
Filed under: Salmonella enterica subsp. enterica serovar Typhimurium
Lineage: Bacteria; Pseudomonadati; Pseudomonadota; Gammaproteobacteria; Enterobacterales; Enterobacteriaceae
Description: bacterial SSU rRNA
Rfam family: Bacterial small subunit ribosomal RNA
Source: RNAcentral